Molecule: ribosomal RNA, 802 nt
Filed under: uncultured fungus
Lineage: Eukaryota; Fungi
Description: eukaryotic LSU rRNA
Rfam family: Eukaryotic large subunit ribosomal RNA
Source: RNAcentral
CCCGCUGAACUUAAGCAUAUCAGUAAGCGGAGGAAAAGAAAACAACCGUGAUUCCCUUAGUAGCUGCGAGCGAAACGGGAAGAGCUCAAAACCGAAUCUGGCGGUUUUUAAUAACCGUCCGAAUUGUGGUUUAUGGACGGACUCUACGGCCGCCGCGCCGCUUUAAUUCUGUUGGAACACAGGGCCAUAGAGGGUGAUAGCCCCGUAAAGGUGGCGGCGGUGGUUCAAAAGAGUCUACUCCCAGAGUCACACUGUUUGAGAGUUCAGUGUAAAGUGCCAGGUGAGUACCUGUUAUAGCUAGAUAUUCGUCGGAGUCCGAUAGCAUACAAGUACCGUGAGGGAAAGAUGCAAAGAACUUUGAAAAGAGAGUUAAAAGAACCUGAAAUCGGUAACGAGGAAGGGUUCGGAGCCUCAGCCGCCUCUGCAAAUUCUUUUGUCGGUCUCGGCACGAAGAGAUACCGCUGAAUAACUCUUUUGUUGUCGACGGUGUUCGGAAUGUCGGAUCCGGCGGAAAUACUUUUGCAUGCAAGACAGAAUUGAUUCUUGCUCCCCGAUUGGGAUGUCGGAAGGGUGGUUUCGGGAUCUUAACCGGUUCUGAAGUCCGAAAUUCGAUUUCUUCCGGGUAGCGAUGGCCGGUUUCGGUUCAGCGCCUUUUGUCUGGGUCCAGUUGUCGGCAGCGGUAGGUGCCUCGCAGCUACAAGAUUUCUAGUGUCUUUGGUGAACCGCCUUUCAUACGGUUACAGCCUAUGCUGAACUAUUAGUGCUCCGCCGAGGUAUUCGAACCUCCCGUCUUGAAACACGG